This is a long non-coding RNA of Trichechus manatus latirostris (Florida manatee), 548 nucleotides long. RefSeq lists it as uncharacterized. Lineage: Eukaryota; Metazoa; Chordata; Mammalia; Sirenia; Trichechidae. The transcript has 3 exons. The record is from RefSeq and is a predicted model, not a curated record.
UUUGGCAUUUUAAGGGGUAAGCAUCAAGUUCUGAGAAGAUAUACCUUCUGCCAGAUUAUCAAAGUACUGAUUUUCAACUAGAUACUUGUUCCAAGAAAUACUCAAGACUUCUGAUGAUGACUCUGGUUAUAGAGCCAGUUCCACUGUCUUGGAGAAGGUUGAAGGGAGGAAGUAAUGCAAGUCAUCAGGGACCUUUUUGAAAUCAGAACUAUGUUAGUGAGUCACAGUUGGUGGUUUUUUCCCUCGGACCUCUUUCUAGGAAAAGUGAAUCAACAUCCUUAUAAGAAUAUGGCACUAAUGCAGUUUGGGAAUUUUCUACUGUAAAAGAAAUGCCGAGACCCCUUCCCCACUCACAUAUUGCUACAUUCAAAAUAGGUAAGAUGUUAAUUUUUAUUACUCUGUUUGACUAGGUCGGUUGCUCCUAUUGUAGCAGGCUACGGAGUAAUUUCUGGUCAUUUACCUAUAUUCCUCACUAGACUUUGAGGUCAGAUUCUAGGAUAAUAUUCAUCACAAUUGUAUCAUUAAUAUAUAAUACAAGGCUUGGCAGU